CUCUCUCUCUCCCUCUCUCUCUCUGCCGCGCGACGAGUGGGCGGCGGCCGGGCUCCUGCCCGAACGAGCUGCACAACUACAACAGAUCUUUUGCAUUUCCUCCCCAAUGCAAAAACGGCCAGUACAACAAAAACAACGACAGUGCAGGAAGGGGUGUGGAUUGAACUCCAUCGAUGGAGCCACGGAGGCAACAUCCGGGCAUCAGUCAUUCGCCAAACGCAUUGCAGAAGGCUUUUAUAGAUGAUAGUAAAGAUCUAACAGAAAUGGAAAUAUCCAUGGACAGUUUAAUAUAUGCAGAGGUGCUGAAGUUUGCCAACUUCGAAUUUCGUUUGUCAUUAUUCCCUGAUCCUGAUGUAAUUUAAGGCUCUGCCAGGUCUGCAUUUUUCAUCCCUCAUUUGUUGGUUUGGUGAAAAUAGUGUAUGCACUUAACUAAGUCCAUUUUUGAAGAAACAAAACCAGGGGGUUCAGGCUCUGGUGCACCAUCAGAGAAGCAUGACUGGGGACGGCCUCCUAGCUCUGGGAAGAUGCAACAGUUAGCUUCUUUGGUUCCAAUUGCUGAAACAAUCUCAUUUUAGUUGGCUUCCAGCUCUUCAUAAAUUGUUAAGGUACCUUAUUCUAAUUGUUUAUUACCUGCUAUUUCAGUGUUGCCUUGCUAACGUAAUUAGCUAUAAAGGAAGCUACAAAACUAUUCUUGACUCUAUAUAUUUUCCUAUACGCGUUGUUAGCUAUUAUUGGUAUAGCACUUUAAUAUUAUUCUUGGCAUAUGUGUGUUUUUCCCCUUUUUCAGUAACUGUUUUAGAUCGUUGCCUACACGUAAAUGAUAGUUGAGAUUUGGCCAAUUGGCCUAUUGCAUUUGGAUUCCAAUGUUUUAAAUCAUUUGCAACUUGGCUUCAUGAGUUGUACUAGCAGUGAAAUGCAGAGUUAGGUAAUAUUAUGCCAAUAUUUGUUUUAUUUCUUCCACUAACAGAGAUGCAUGGAGCAGUAUGCUGAGUUCUUUUCGCAAGUUGUUGCUGUUCAAAAGUAUGAAAUAAUCUCUUAUGAAUGAUUUGAUGAUUUUAUUUGUUUAGAUGAGUACCUGUUCAUAAUCUAGAUAUGCAUGAUUACAGUAAGCUUAUAAUCUGAAAAUGUUUCUUUCUUGACAAACUACUUUUGUUCGGAUUCUUUAGAUGAACCAAUGGAGCAUGCUUAUAUAUUAGAAUAAUUGAUAACUCGCCAGCAUUAGGGGCUAUUUUUUUGUGCUCUACCUGAAUAAUUUUUCUCAUCUUAACAGUUGCAAAACAUCCUAGAGAAAUAUCCGAUCUAGUGACAUCAGUCUUUACUGCUUGAAAUUCUUUCACCCAAGACUCCGAGAGAUACUGAUCAUGUUUGCGAAUUCAAAUUUGGUGCUAGAUGCAGACCUGGUUUUGUUUUGUUGCUUCUUACUGCCUGAUAUUCAUUCACCUGAAAGAUACUGAUCAGGUUUGCCAAUAGAAUUUUUAUGCUAAUUGCUGACCUAAUUUGAUUUGAUUGCCUGAUAAAAGUUAAUGUACUUGGAUCAAUAUACUUUGCAUUCAAAUUGUUCUGAUUGCCUCGAGUACUGUCUACCAUAUAAAUCUUUGAUUACUGAAGUUGGGGAUGAUAGAAUUGUAUUAUGUGGUGUAGAAUUAUAGCUACCACAACUGGAGUUAGUCACACAUCUCGGCAUUGUUAAUUCUUUUGGAGCGCUGCAGAGUAAUCCUUAAUCUUUGCCUAUGAACGAUCAUCUUUGCAAGAUGUUCUAUUCUUGUAAUGUGUUUACAGUUUUAGUUUAGCAGACUACAGUCACUACGGGUUGGUUGUCUGCAUAUUGUAUACCAAGUUAUUGUAUUAUUUGUUUUUCUAGGUAAGCCACCCUUUUUUUCUCUUUGCAAAAAUGCUUCAUUAUAGUGAUCUAAAGUUGAGUACUUGGUUAAUCACAUGAACUCCGUGUGUUAGUACUCUAUGAUUCAAUUUCAUUUUCAGAAUGUUGGUAUGGUACAUGCUUAACUAACAAAAUGUUUUGUUACCAUGGCAACAAGCAUUUGUCCUUUGUGCCAAACAAGCAAAGAAAGUUUCAUAUUGCCCUUA
Panicum virgatum (switchgrass) is the source of this 2085-nucleotide long non-coding RNA. RefSeq lists it as uncharacterized. The record is from RefSeq and is a predicted model, not a curated record. NCBI's taxonomy places the organism in Eukaryota, Viridiplantae, Streptophyta, Magnoliopsida, Poales, Poaceae. The transcript has 4 exons.